Non-coding RNA from Leptonychotes weddellii (Weddell seal), 419 nucleotides. The record is from RefSeq and is a predicted model, not a curated record. Lineage: Eukaryota; Metazoa; Chordata; Mammalia; Carnivora; Phocidae.
CCUCACAAAGCGGGAGGGCGUGGGCCGGAGGAGGAGUGCGGGGACGGCCGAAGGGGCCGGGCGGCCAGCGGAGAUGGCUGUGUCCGAGCCGGGGGGCAGCGCGGCGACUUGGGUAAAGAAUUAGUAUCCUAUAUAACAUCACGAUCAACAUUGAAUGGUUGAGGGAUCGGUAACAUUCAAAGAUGUGACUAUGGCCUUUACCCAGAAGGAAUGGGAGCAGCUAGAUCCUGCUCAGAGGAACCUGUAUAAGGAUGUGAUGCUGGAGAACUACAGCAACCUUGCCUCAAUGGGGUAUCAAGCUCCCAAACCAGACAUGAUCUCCAAGUUGGAAAAAGGAGAAGAGCCAUGGUUGGGGAAGGGCAAAAGACCCAGACAAGGUGGUCCCAGUGAAAUAGCAAGACCCAAGCAAAUAGGAACCA